CUUUCUUUGCUGGCGACUGGCGCACGGGUGAGUAACACGUAUCCAACCUGCCCUUUACUCGGGGAUAGCCUUUCGAAAGAAAGAUUAAUACCCGAUGGCAUAAUGAUUCCGCAUGGUUUCAUUAUUAAAGGAUUCCGGUAAAGGAUGGGGAUGCGUUCCAUUAGGUUGUUGGUGAGGUAACGGCCCACCAAGCCUUCGAUGGAUAGGGGUUCUGAGAGGAAGGUCCCCCACAUUGGAACUGAGACACGGUCCAA
This 254-nucleotide ribosomal RNA is filed under the name uncultured bacterium. RNAcentral's name for it is "partial 16S ribosomal RNA". It matches the Rfam family "Bacterial small subunit ribosomal RNA", at positions 79 to 334 of the family's 1533-position model. The record is from RNAcentral.